GGAUGUGAGGGUAAUCUGGCUACAACAUCUGUCACCCCACUGAUUGCCAGGGUUGAUGUGACUGAUUUGGCUGGCUACUCGGGUGUCCCCUUCCUCUAUCACUGCCCCAUGUGCAUUCCUACUGAAGCUGUGCACCAUCCCCGAUAGAGAAGGGUAGCUGCAUUCCCCUGCUAGAACCUCCAAACAAGCUCUCAAACUCCAGUCCACCAAAAAAAAAAUAGUAUCUGUGUUGCAAUUGUUUU
This 242-nucleotide small nuclear RNA is filed under the name Castor canadensis (American beaver). RNAcentral's name for it is "7SK RNA (ENSCCNG00000014008.1)". It matches the Rfam family "7SK RNA". Rfam says of the family: 7SK was discovered as an abundant small nuclear RNA in the mid-70s but a possible function has only recently been suggested. Lineage: Eukaryota; Metazoa; Chordata; Mammalia; Rodentia; Castoridae. The record is from RNAcentral.